GACGAACGCUGGCGGCGCGCCUAACACAUGCAAGUCGAACGAUCGAGAUAGAUCUUGCUUUCUCAAGCGAGUGGCGAACGGGUGAGUAUCGCGUGAGGGACCUGCCUCAAAGAGGGGGACAACAGUUUGAAACGACUGCUAAUACCGCAUAUGCCCACAUUACAGCCACGACCAAAGGUAAAAGGAUCAAACCGCUUUGCGAUGGACUCGCCCCCGAUUAGCUUAUUGGUUAGGUAACGGCCCACCAAGGCAACGAUCGGUAGCCGGACUGAGAGGUUGGACGGAAACAUUGGGACAGAGAGACGGCGGAGAUUUCUACGGGAGGCAGCAGUGGGGAAUGUUGCACAAUGGGGGAAACAAUGAUGCAGCGACGCCGCAUGGAGGAAGAAGGUCUUAGGAUUGUAAACUACUGUUGUUGAGGAAGAUAAUGACGGUAAUUAACAAGAAAGUGACGGCUAACUACGUG
Molecule: ribosomal RNA, 466 nt
Filed under: uncultured bacterium
Lineage: Bacteria
Description: partial 16S ribosomal RNA
Rfam family: Bacterial small subunit ribosomal RNA
Source: RNAcentral